CUGCGAGUGAAGCGGGAAAAGCUCAAAUUUAAAAUCUGGCGGUCUUUGGCCGUCCGAGUUGUAAUCUGGAGAAGCGUUUUCCGCGUCGGACCGUGUACAAGUCUCCUGGAACGGAGCGUCAUAGAGGGUGAGAAUCCCGUCUUUGACACGGACUGCCGAUGCUAUGUGAUGCGCUCUCAAAGAGUCGAGUUGUUUGGGAAUGCAGCUCAAAAUGGGUGGUAAAUUCCAUCUAAAGCUAAAUAUUGGCGAGAGACCGAUAGCGAACAAGUACCGUGAGGGAAAGAUGAAAAGAACUCUGGAAAGAGAGUUAAACAGUACGUGAAAUUGUUGAAAGGGAAACGCUUGAAGUCAGUCGCGUCUGCUGGGGAUCAACCUUGCUCUUCUGCUUGGUGUACUUCCUAGUUUGACGGGUCAGCAUCGGUUUUGAUUGCUGGAAAAAGGGUGGAGGAAUGUGGCAUCUUCGGGUGUGUUAUAGCCUCUGCUCUCAUACAGCGGUUGGGACCGAGGAACUCAGCACGCCUUUUUGGCCGGGGUUCGCCCACGUACGUACU
RNAcentral lists this ribosomal RNA (551 nucleotides) under uncultured Hypochniciellum. RNAcentral's name for it is "eukaryotic LSU rRNA". It matches the Rfam family "Eukaryotic large subunit ribosomal RNA", at positions 87 to 615 of the family's 3401-position model. The record is from RNAcentral. Lineage: Eukaryota; Fungi; Basidiomycota; Agaricomycetes; Corticiales; Corticiaceae.